Long non-coding RNA from Micropterus salmoides (largemouth bass), 918 nucleotides. RefSeq lists it as uncharacterized. The transcript has 2 exons. NCBI's taxonomy places the organism in Eukaryota, Metazoa, Chordata, Actinopteri, Centrarchiformes, Centrarchidae. The record is from RefSeq and is a predicted model, not a curated record.
CAUGAAGAGGAGGAGGACGGCGAUGGUGUGGAGUACAGUGUUGUUAACUUUAAGAGUGCGAGUGCUUCAGUAGAAUUAAGACGUCAAGAGGCUGUGGAGGAUUCAUCUGCACUGUACAGCACAAUCACCAACAUACCAAGAGUAUAAUCACAACAUGGAUCUGUGGUUCUGUUUAAGCAGAAUUCCACAGUGACAAUAAAAUACAUUAAAAACUGUCAAAAGUCAAAUACAUAAAACAACAAACAAUCAUAGUUUCUCUUACAACCAACAAGUUAUCACAAGAGUUUGUUCGGAAGCCCAAAGGCAGGAUGUUCUCUGCCCUCCAUCAUAUCCGAUGUUUUUAGAAAUGUAUUGGCAGUGUAAUUUAGUCAAAUUAACCUCAAAGGAAUCUACACAUCCAGCAGACAUGACAAGAUCUUUGUGUGGACAAUGUGCAAAAGGUUAGAGUUAAUAAGCUGUAUUAAAAUUACUGUUACAGCAUCCAGCCAAGUACUAGUAUCAGUUGCUAACAGUCUGUAAUUUAUUAAUUCCAAUAUAGAAUUUGCUUAACAUUUUUUCUAAGGAGCAAUAUUUUACUGUCGGUGCAAGCGAACCAAUUCCUUGUCAAGUACAUUUCUAUACAGUAUACCUUUCCAACUUUACCAAAGUCUUUCUCUGCUCUACAGUCUAUUCACUUUUUUUAUUAAUAUUUCAAAUAUUCCUAUGCUCAUUCUGACAUUUUUAAAUUUCUGGUGCUUACCAUCACAACAAAAUGAGUUAUUGUUUUGUUUGAGUCCUCAUCUCACAACUUAAUUAUUUUUUUAACUCUUGUUUUGUGUUUUAUAAACCUGUGACUUAUUUCACACUUUAACCCUCUAAAAUUUGUUAAACUAAAUAACAUGAGAUUUUAUUGAAUAAAAAAGGUAUUUAGUUUGUAAA